GUUUGUAAACCUAAGUGGGGUUGUGCUUGAAGGCCACGUAGGUGUGCAUGGGUUGUGUUGGCGUUCCCAGAACUCCUCUCCAUUGUGAACUAAAGGAACUCAGUGACCACCCCCUGCAUAUAUAUGCAGUACUUAAAGGCUUUGAGUAGUGGAGUUUCUUCCCUGCCUUAAGUUCUACCUGAAGUCCACAGCGUGGAUGUGGUGAUCCUUAUGUUCCUGCUGGUGCUAAACUCCUCCCCAGUCUCCAGAGUAAUAUGUUCCAGAGCUAUACACACUGUCUUCCUUGGUCUGGUGACCGCACCCAUAGAUUCUCUUACCUCACCAUGGCCAAGUCAUCUGGAGCAGUUGUGCAUCUGGGGCCAUGCCACCGUGGUCUGGCGCUACGGACAGCCUCCACGCCGGCCGAGCGACUCACGCUUUCUCCGGCCGUCUUCACGCGAGCACCAAAGUCUUGAACCAAGACCUCCCGCUUCCUGUUGCCCACGUCGCCGGUCAGCCUGCUCGGCCACUCAUCCAGCAGAGCUGGAAGGCAUCUUCAUUUUCUCCCAUUCGCUUCAAGCCAUGGCCUUUAACUACUACCGAAGCACUUGGUGUGGGUCUGCUGCAGCUAAUAAGAACAAUGAAGAAAUUGAAGCAUGUGCUGUUUUGGUUGCAACAUUGAGGAAGAAGCGGCGUUGGGGAGGGUCUGUUGUUGGCCAUAAGAUGAAAAAUCGCGACCGUAUUGGUGGCGACAUUCAACUGAAUAAUGACUACUUUAUUGAGAGGUCGUUGUUCAACCCUGAGCAAUUCCGCAGAAGGUUCCGUAUGCAACAAUCCCUUUUCUUGGAGAUUGAAGAUAAAUUGGCAGCUGCAAAUAAGUUCUUUAGACAAAAAAGAAAUGCAGCUGGUGUGUUGGGAUUCUCCAGUAGACAAAAGUGUACUAUGGCUUUGCGGAUGUUGGCUUAUGGAGGUCCAGCAAAUUUUCUAGAUGAAGGUCUGCGUAUGGGAGAAAGCACAGUCCUUCAAACUAUCAAGGAGUUUGCUAAAACAGUCCUUCAAACAUUUUUCUGCUUAGCUUGUUUCUUCCCUCCUCUGGAUGGCAGUAGUGAUUCCUCAGACGUCAAAUGAAAUUGGGAAGACCUAGCUGAUGUAUCCCCUUCAUCCAUGUUGUACUGCACACACACAACAGCAGUAGUAAUUUGUAACAUAUGCAACAUCAGGGUAGCAAGGUUAAUUUGCUAAUAUUCUUCCAAUCCUACCUCAACAGCAGUAGCAUUAUCUAUAUCUUCAAUUGAAACGGCAUAGCAGGAGGUCCC
This 1295-nucleotide unclassified non-coding RNA is filed under the name Zea mays. RNAcentral describes it as "misc RNA Zm00001eb412400". The record is from RNAcentral. Lineage: Eukaryota; Viridiplantae; Streptophyta; Magnoliopsida; Poales; Poaceae.